CAAACGACUCUCGGCAACGGAUAUCUCGGCUCUUGCAUCGAUGAAGAACGUAGCGAAAUGCGAUACUUGGUGUGAAUUGCAGAAUCCCGUGAACCAUCGAGUUUUUGAACGCAAGUUGCGCCCGAGGCCAUUAGGUCGAGGGCACGUCUGCCUGGGCGUCACAC
This 164-nucleotide ribosomal RNA is filed under the name Aconitum kitadakense. RNAcentral's name for it is "5.8S rRNA". It matches the Rfam family "5.8S ribosomal RNA". From Rfam's summary of the family: 5.8S ribosomal RNA (5.8S rRNA) is a component of the large subunit of the eukaryotic ribosome. It is transcribed by RNA polymerase I as part of the 45S precursor that also contains 18S and 28S rRNA. Functionally, it is thought that 5.8S rRNA may be involved in ribosome translocation. RNAcentral also lists the same sequence under 1 other name. Lineage: Eukaryota; Viridiplantae; Streptophyta; Magnoliopsida; Ranunculales; Ranunculaceae. The record is from RNAcentral.